CAGGGCUUGACAAUGUGUCCAAUUCACUUGAUGUAAAUACGGCGGUGAAGUUAGUUUCAGGUUGGAUAUAUUUUCCUGUAAAUACGGCGGUGAAGUUAGUUUCAGGUUGGAUAUAUUUUCCUGUAAAUAUGGCGGUGAAGUUAGUUUCAGGUUGGAUAUAUUUUCCUGUAAAUACUGCGGUGAAGUUAGUUUCAGGUUGGAUAUAUUUUCCUGUAAAUAUGGCGGUGAAGUUAGUUUCAGGUUGGAUAUAUUUUCCUGUAAAUACGGCGGUGAAGUUAGUUUCAGGUUGGAUAUAUUUUCCUGUAAAUACGGCGGUGAAGUUAGUUUUAGGUUGGAUAUAUUUUCCUGUAAAUACGGCGGUGAAGUUAGUUUUAGGUUGGAUAUAUUUUUCUGUAAAUACGGCGGUGAAGUUAGUUUCAGGUUGGAUAUAUUUUCCUGUAAAUACUUCGGUGAAGUUAGUUUCAGGUUGGAUAUCUGACGGACAUUCUCUGAGGAUCUACCGGUGUCUUCUCACUCUCCAUAACCGGGAAUAACAACAGCAGCGCGGUUAAAUCUACUCGACACCCUCACUGUCAACGUCGGUGUUGAAUAAGGGACCGUCAAUAAAUUAC
Xyrichtys novacula (pearly razorfish) is the source of this 611-nucleotide non-coding RNA. NCBI's taxonomy places the organism in Eukaryota, Metazoa, Chordata, Actinopteri, Labriformes, Labridae. The record is from the annotation of a GenBank genome assembly.